RNAcentral lists this ribosomal RNA (501 nucleotides) under uncultured bacterium. RNAcentral's name for it is "partial 16S ribosomal RNA". It matches the Rfam family "Bacterial small subunit ribosomal RNA", at positions 30 to 523 of the family's 1533-position model. The record is from RNAcentral.
AUUGAACGCUGGCGGCAGGCUUAACACAUGCAAGUCGAGCGGGGGGAGGUAGCUUGCUACCGGACCUAGCGGCGGACGGGUGAGUAAUGCUUAGGAAUCUGCCUAUUAGUGGGGGACGACAUCUCGAAAGGGAUGCUAAUACCGCAUACGUCCUACGGGAGAAAGCAGGGGAUCUUCGGACCUUGCGCUAAUAGAUGAGCCUAAGUCGGAUGAGCUAGUUGGUGGGGUAAAGGCCUACCAAGGCGACGAUCUGUAGCGGGUCUGAGAGGAUGAUCCGCCACACUGGGACUGAGACACGGCCCAGACUCCUACGGGAGGCAGCAGUGGGGAAUAUUGGACAAUGGGGGGAACCCUGAUCCAGCCAUGCCGCGUGUGUGAAGAAGGCCUUAUGGUUGUAAAGCACUUUAAGCGAGGAAGAGGCUACUUUAGUUAAUACCUAGAGAUAGUGGACGUUACUCGCGGAAUAAGCACCGGCUAACUCUGUGCCAGCCGCCGCAGUAA